This is a long non-coding RNA of Cucumis melo (muskmelon), 523 nucleotides long. RefSeq lists it as uncharacterized. The record is from RefSeq and is a predicted model, not a curated record. The transcript has 3 exons. Lineage: Eukaryota; Viridiplantae; Streptophyta; Magnoliopsida; Cucurbitales; Cucurbitaceae.
AUGAGAUUCAAUCCCUAUGACCUUGGACCAUGUAGAUUUGGUUCAGAAGCUAUCUUUGUUCCCUGCGUAUCUGGCACCACUUCAGAAGAAGAUGAUGGCUACUUGAUAUUAUUCGUACACGAUGAGCAUAUUGGAAAAUCCGCAGUGAAUGUUGUAGAUGCAAAAACUAUGUCAUCUGAGCCUGUCGCAGUUGUUGAAUUGCCACACAGAGUUCCAUAUGGGUUUCAUGCCUUCUUUGUUACAGAGGCUCGUGAAGCUGCAAUAUCUGUGCAAGAGAAAUCAGUUGAUCUUCAGCGGAAAAAGAGUAAAGGUCCGUGGAAACUUGAUGCCAUGAAAUUGUUUUUGACAAUUGAAUUUUAUGUACUACAUUGAAUACUGUAUUUAUGGAAAUAGUAAUAGUUUAUUUGUAGAUGGAAUUACAAAGCCAUAGUUAUGGAGGAUUAGAAACCAAAUUGUAGUAUCUUGUUACCUUUUUCUAUAAAAAAAAAUGUUUUAUGAACAAUCAGCUUUCAUUGAGACAAGU